GACGAACUGUCCUAACGUUGUUCGGAAUCACUGGGCUUAAAGGGCGCGUAGGCGGUCAGCACAAGUCAGUUGUGAAAUCUCCGGGCUUAACUCGGAAAGGUCAACUGAUACUGUGCGACUAGAGUGCAGAAGGGGCAACUGGAAUUCUCGGUGUAGCGGUGAAAUGCGUAGAUAUCGAGAGGAACACCUGCGGCGAAGGCGGGUUGCUGGGCUGACACUGACGCUGAUGCGCGAAAGCCAGGGGAGCGAACGGG
RNAcentral lists this ribosomal RNA (254 nucleotides) under uncultured bacterium. Its description in RNAcentral is "partial 16S ribosomal RNA". It matches the Rfam family "Bacterial small subunit ribosomal RNA", at positions 524 to 776 of the family's 1533-position model. The record is from RNAcentral.